UGAUGAGCUCUACUAUCAGUCCUGUG
RNAcentral lists this non-coding RNA (26 nucleotides) under Homo sapiens (human). The record is from RNAcentral. Lineage: Eukaryota; Metazoa; Chordata; Mammalia; Primates; Hominidae.